GCCAGAGUGGUGUAGUGGUUUGAGUGUUGGACUGGGACUCUGGAGACCUGGGUUCAAAUCCCAGCUCAGCCA
Non-coding RNA from Phrynosoma platyrhinos (Desert horned lizard), 72 nucleotides. Lineage: Eukaryota; Metazoa; Chordata; Lepidosauria; Squamata; Phrynosomatidae. The record is from the annotation of a GenBank genome assembly.